RNAcentral lists this ribosomal RNA (503 nucleotides) under uncultured bacterium. RNAcentral describes it as "partial 16S ribosomal RNA". It matches the Rfam family "Bacterial small subunit ribosomal RNA", at positions 30 to 523 of the family's 1533-position model. The record is from RNAcentral.
AUUGAACGCUGGCGGCAGGCCUAACACAUGCAAGUCGAGCGGGGUGAUGGUGCUUGCACUAUCACUUAGCGGCGGACGGGUGAGUAAUGCUUAGGAAUCUGCCUAUUAGUGGGGGACAACAUCUCGAAAGGGAUGCUAAUACCGCAUACGUCCUACGGGAGAAAGCAGGGGAUCACUUGUGACCUUGCGCUAAUAGAUGAGCCUAAGUCGGAUUAGCUAGUUGGUGGGGUAAAGGCCAACCAAGGGGACGAUCUGUAGCGGGUAGGAGAGGAUGAUCCGCCACACUGGGACUGAGACACGGCCCAGACUCCUACGGGAGGCAGCAGUGGGGAAUAUUGGACAAUGGGGGGAACCCUGAUCCAGCCAUGCCGCGUGUGUGAAGAAGGCCUUAUGGUUGUAAAGCACUUUAAGCGAGGAGGAGGCUCUUUUGGUUAAUACCCAAGAUGAGUGGACGUUACUCGCAGAAUAAGCACCGGCUAACUCUGUGCCAGCAGCCGCCGUAA